This 906-nucleotide ribosomal RNA is filed under the name Amanita aff. sinicoflava. RNAcentral describes it as "partial large subunit ribosomal RNA". It matches the Rfam family "Eukaryotic large subunit ribosomal RNA", at positions 73 to 944 of the family's 3401-position model. Lineage: Eukaryota; Fungi; Basidiomycota; Agaricomycetes; Agaricales; Amanitaceae. The record is from RNAcentral.
GAUUCCCUAGUAACUGCGAGUGAAGCGGGAAAAGCUCAAAUUUGAAAUCUGGCAGUCUUUUUUUUCUUCUUUGGCUGUCCGAGUUGUAAUCUAGAGAAGUGCUUACCUGCGCUGGACCAUGUAUAAGUCUCCUGGAAUGGAGCCUCACAGAGGGUGAGAAUCCCGUCUUUGACAUGGACCGCCAGUGCGUUGUGGUGCGCUCUCAAAGAGUCGAGUUGUUUGGGAAUGCAGCUCUAAACGGGUGGUAAACUCCAUCUAAAGCUAAAUAUUGGCGAGAGACCGAUAGCGAACAAGUACCGUGAGGGAAAGAUGAAAAGGACUUUGGAAAGAGAGUUAAACAGUAUGUGAAAUUGUUGAAAGGGAAACGCUUGAAGUCAGUUAUGUCGGCUGGGGAUCAACCUAGCCAUCUUUUUGGCUGGGUGAAUUUCCUAGUCUGACAGGCCAACAUCAGUCUUGACUGCCGGAAAAGAGCGGAGGGAAUGUGGCACCUUUGGGUGUGUUAUAGCCCUCUGUCAUAUGCGGCAGUCGGGACUGAGGGAUGCAGCGUGCCGCGAGGCUGGGUUUCGACCACGUUCACGCUUAGGAUGUUGGCUUUUAAUGGCUCCAAUCGACCCGUCUUGAAACACGGACCAAGGAGUCUAACAUGCCUGCGAGUGUUUGGGUGGAAAACCCUUGUGCACAAUGAAAGUGAAAGUUGAGAUCCCCGUCAUGGGGAGCAUCGACGCCCGGACUUGAGCUUUUAGCGACGGAUCCGCGGUAGAGCAUGCAUGUUGGGACCCGAAAGAUGGUGAACUAUGCCUGAAUAGGGCAAAGCCAGAGGAAACUCUGGUGGAGGCUCGUAGCGAUUCUGACGUGCAAAUCGAUCGUCAAAUUUGGGUAUAGGGGCGAAAGACUAAUCGAACCAUC